Molecule: long non-coding RNA, 1869 nt
Organism: Oncorhynchus gorbuscha (pink salmon)
Lineage: Eukaryota; Metazoa; Chordata; Actinopteri; Salmoniformes; Salmonidae
Exons: 7
Source: RefSeq, a predicted model, not a curated record
CUAAUGGGAAUUGAUAAUUUUACUCCUCGAUAGUCCAUUUGUCAGAAGAAAUAUGCGUUUUAGCUAGACAUUUGGAAAUCCAGCGUAAAACUGGUCAACAGCCACGACAGGGCGCAGCCAUUUUUGAAUGUUCCAACUAAAUCGUGAAAAAGUACAGUCAGGGGCAACAUGGCGCUUGGCAGGGUCGGCGGCUGCAUCCGAAAACUGCUUCACGAUUGUCCCUCAAAGGGAUUACUUUGUGGCCGCAUACAAUCGGACUGUAUGGCAUGCAGAGUAGGAGCAAAAAGGCAUCUAUUGUCAGAGGAUGUUGUCAAACUACAAGAAUUUCAGCUUCGGAAACAGGCAGUGGCUCAUCAGGUGUCCGGAUCAAAAAGUUGACUACUCAAGUUUUAAUGUGACAUGGACAAGUACAGUGACAUGGACAAGUACAGUGACAUCAAAAACAAGGACAUUUCUAAGUGACCCCAAACUUUUGAACGGUCAUUAUUUGGAGGUAUUCAAUCGGAAGCUAAAGAAGAACGAGUUAAUAUUGAAGGAUGGCCUGAAACUGCUUCUACACCUAUGCCAAUCUGCAGAGGACAUGGUCACAGCCAGAGGUGCCAUCUACAGGACAUGAGAGGAUUAUUUUCGGAAUCAACCUCCUUCAAUAUUGCCAUAGACAUGUUGUUUAUGAAAGGAUUAUAUGAGAAGUGAUGUUGAAAAAGCACAAUCUAUGUUCGGUCAGAUUAUGAGCACUGACAGCGGAAUAUGUCAAAAUCUCAAAGUGCUGAUGCUGGCUAUGGCAGGAGCUGUGAAAUAAUCACUCUCUGUCUUGACAUUAGCAUUGGGAUCCAGCAGCCCUGCAUUUAUAAAGAAGCCUGAAUUCGCACAGGAAGUGUUAAGUAAAAAAAACUCCAAAUGGAUGUUUAAUGUCUGAUGCAUAAUCUGUGUAAUUAUCUGAGUCAUCCAGUCACUAAUAUAAUUCAUCAAUACAUCUAUGUGUGCGUGGUCUCUUUCUCAGGGGACUUAGUGCGUCUUCGGAGCGAGGACAGCCCUCUGAUGGCGAGCGUGGAGCAGGCAGUGCCCACCUCCAGCAGGCAGGUCAGGUGACCCAACGAAACCUGGACAAGAUGUUGUGUCAUACCCCCAUGGGGAAGAAGAGGAUGCCCAUGGGGAUAAUGGACGAGAGAAGGAUCAGCCAGAGGACUCCGAGGCCUCUGCAGUCCACUCUGUUGUCAGAGUGAAUGGGACUAGGUGUAUCUCUCAGCGUGUUUGAGGGGAUCAAGGUGAGGCGCAGAAUUGUGAAUCUUGAUCAAGUACUGAGUAGGUUUUUGGGAGGGGAUUUGCAGAUCAGUGAUUCUGCGCAGUCCGAGUGCAAUGUAGUCGAUUUUAAACAAACAUUGUUUCAUUCUAAACUCUGCCUUAAUUGUACCAGUCCCUGUCACAGCCAUGGGGGUCUGCUCUCACACCACCCAAACAAGGCUGAACAGAGAUGCGCUCUCUCCCUACACCCAGACCUGGACUUUAUAGAGACCUAUAGUGUACCAUGCAGUGCAAUGUACCUCUCCUCUCAGCCAGAGACCCUUCUGUAUUCCUCCUUUUUGAUCAUAUUCUUCACCCGUUCACAUGCAAUGGUACUGGUAUACUAGUUGGUUCUACGUCUGGGGAGCCCCUUCAGAGCAUUUCAGACUUUUAACUGCUGGCUGUGAAAAGGUUUGUUGAAUCCAAGGGACACCAAUGUGUGCAAGAGAAGAAUGUAAUGGUGUAUGUGAGACAGAUAUGUAUAAACAUGUAAUUAUUUGUGAUUUAUAGGGUAAUACAUAUUGAAUGAAAUAAAAGCUGAUGUUGUAGAACUCUUUAUUUUAUUGUUGAAUAAAGAGUCCUUCUUUA